Molecule: ribosomal RNA, 322 nt
Filed under: uncultured eukaryote
Lineage: Eukaryota
Description: partial 18S ribosomal RNA
Rfam family: Eukaryotic small subunit ribosomal RNA
Source: RNAcentral
CCCUUAGAUGUUCUGGGCCGCACGCGUGCUACACUGAGUGGAUCAGCGGGUCAGGUUGCGCGAAAGCGUUUCCUAAUCUUUAAAUCCGCUCGUGAUGGGGAUUGACGGUUGCAAUUUUCUGUCAUGAACGAGGAAUACCUUGUAAGCGCGGGUCAUCAUCCCGCGCUGAAUACGUCCCUGCCCUUUGUACACACCGCCCGUCGCUCCUACCGAUUGAGUGGUCCGGUGAGGCUUUGGGAUCUGAGCGGAAAGAGCGUUUCGCUGUUCCUGCUCGGAAAACUCAGUCGAACCUUAUCAUUUAGAGGAAGGAGAAGUCGUAACA